CCUAAACAUUAUUGGCGAUUUUGGACCGGCGCAAAUUCCUACGUUUGAAAUAUUUUUCCCGCCAAUUACUUGGGGUGGCUAUUUUAAAAAAAUGGUGCCUAAACUUUGUGGCGGCCUUGAAGACGCCGCAAGUUCCUCCCUAUGAAAUUUUUUUCCUCCUAUAUUUUGCGAUGGCUUAAAACUUCUGCUAAUUCCUCAGUUUAAUUUUUUUUUUCCGCAUCUUUUUGGUUUAAAACCGCCACUAAAGCUGCCGGAAAUGACCGAAG
RNAcentral lists this long non-coding RNA (266 nucleotides) under Trifolium pratense (red clover). RNAcentral's name for it is "long non-coding RNA (TPRA_LNC000600)". The record is from RNAcentral. Lineage: Eukaryota; Viridiplantae; Streptophyta; Magnoliopsida; Fabales; Fabaceae.